GUUAGGAAUAUUGGACAAUGGGCGCAAGCCUGAUCCAGUCAUGCCGCGUGAGUGAUGAAGGCCUUCGGGUUGUAAAGCUCUUUAGUCCACGAAUAUAAUGACUGUAGUGGAAGAAUAAGCCCCGGCUAACUUCGUGCCAGCAGCCGCGGUAAUACGAAGGGGGCGAGCGUUAUUCGGAAUCACUGGGCGUAAAGCGUGCGUAGGCUGUUUUGUAAGUCAGAAGUGAAAGCCCAGGGCUUAACCCUGGAAUUGCUUUUGAAACUACAAGACUCGAAUUCGGGAGAGGAUAGCGGAAUUGUCAGUGUAGCAGUGAAAUGCGUAGAUAUUGACAGGAACACCAGUGGCGCAAGCGGCUAUCUGGACCGAUAUUGACGCUGAGGCACGAAAGCGUGGGGAGCAAACAGGAUUAGAUACCCCUGUAGUCC
Molecule: ribosomal RNA, 425 nt
Filed under: uncultured bacterium
Lineage: Bacteria
Description: partial 16S ribosomal RNA
Rfam family: Bacterial small subunit ribosomal RNA
Source: RNAcentral